UGUGAGGGGAAGGCCCCGGUGCUGCGAUGGCUUCCCGCGCUUUUAAUUAAUAAAUAGACUGAGCCGCUCUUAAAGAAGGUAUUAAGCCAUUAGAGAGCGUCCAAAGGAGGGCAGCGAAGAUGGUGGAGGGCCUCGAGGGGCGGCUGAGGGCACUUGCAAAAGAAAUCACAGUUUCCUCGGGGAUGGAGUCACCUGCAAAGCCUGAUGACAGAGAAACAGAAUAACAGCAUGAAGCUGAAAUGAAAGAUUUAGCACAAAGCAGCAGAAGCCAAGGCAGCCACUGCAAAGGCACUCGGGCUCUGCCCCAUCAAUCUGGAUCUGCAGGAGCGCUGGACUGUGUGAACUUCUAACGGCGUGUUAGAAAUGGACCUCACACAGUUCUGACCACACUCCCAAGGCCAAGAGGAAUUCAGAUCCAACAGAACGGGAGAUUUAAAGAGCAAGACUUUCAUAUUUAGGAAUGCUGAGAGCUGCAAUAUCUGUUAUGAGGCAGAAGCUGGAGAUGAGCUGUGAUUCUGCAGAGUGAUCCACGGCAGAGCUGGAAUCAGGAUAGGAAGAAGAUAAUUAUCCAACAAAAGGAUUCAUUCCUACAGCAUUGAGCGAUUAGAAAAUCCAGAGAUUUUUCCUUUUCCCCCUCUUCCACAUUUAGAAGAGGAUUCCCAAGAGACCAUGGAGCCCAGAGGUAGGUACCCUGGUCAGACACAGCUUGUGUCCAG
This is a long non-coding RNA of Manacus vitellinus (golden-collared manakin), 716 nucleotides long. RefSeq lists it as uncharacterized. The record is from RefSeq and is a predicted model, not a curated record. The transcript has 4 exons. Lineage: Eukaryota; Metazoa; Chordata; Aves; Passeriformes; Pipridae.